RNAcentral lists this ribosomal RNA (378 nucleotides) under uncultured eukaryote. Its description in RNAcentral is "partial 18S ribosomal RNA". It matches the Rfam family "Eukaryotic small subunit ribosomal RNA", at positions 592 to 976 of the family's 1831-position model. The record is from RNAcentral.
CAAUAGCGUAUAUUUAAGUUGUUGCAGUUAAAAAGCUCGUAGUUGGAUUUCGGGUGGGACGCAGCGGUCUCGCAUUGCGUUUGUACUGCUGCAGCCCUCCUUCUUGCCGGGGGCGGCCUCUCGGACUUCACUGUCUGGGGGUCAGAAUCGGCGAUGUUACUUUGAGUAAAUUAGAGUGUUCAAAGCAAGCUUACGCUCUGAAUAUAAUAGCAUGGGAUAACACGACAGGACUCUGGCCUAUCGUGUUGGUCUAUAGGACCAGAGUAAUGAUUAAGAGGGACAGUCGGGGGCAUUCGUAUUCCGUUGUCAGAGGUGAAAUUCUUGGAUUUACGGAAGACGAACAUCUGCGAAAGCAUUUGCCAAGGCUGUUUUCAUUGA